This 71-nucleotide transfer RNA is filed under the name Gastrotheca pseustes (San Lucas marsupial frog). RNAcentral describes it as "tRNA-Ile". It matches the Rfam family "tRNA". Rfam says of the family: Transfer RNA (tRNA) molecules are approximately 80 nucleotides in length. Their secondary structure includes four short double-helical elements and three loops (D, anti-codon, and T loops). Further hydrogen bonds mediate the characteristic L-shaped molecular structure. tRNAs have two regions of fundamental functional importance: the anti-codon, which is responsible for specific mRNA codon recognition, and the 3' end, to which the tRNAs corresponding amino acid is attached (by aminoacyl-tRNA synthetases). tRNAs cope with the degeneracy of the genetic code in two manners: having more than one tRNA (with a specific anti-codon) for a particular amino acid; and 'wobble' base-pairing, i.e. permitting non-standard base-pairing at the 3rd anti-codon position. Lineage: Eukaryota; Metazoa; Chordata; Amphibia; Anura; Hemiphractidae. The record is from RNAcentral.
GGAAAUGUGCCCGAAAGAUAAGGGCCUCUUUGAUAAAAAGGACUAUGGGGGUUCGAGUCCCCCCAAUUCCA